This 374-nucleotide long non-coding RNA is filed under the name Erythranthe guttata (spotted monkey flower). RNAcentral's name for it is "long non-coding RNA (EGUT_LNC003367)". The record is from RNAcentral. Lineage: Eukaryota; Viridiplantae; Streptophyta; Magnoliopsida; Lamiales; Phrymaceae.
ACCACCACCACCACCACCCGCCGCCGCCGCCACCGCCGCCGCGGCGGCGGCGGCGGUGGUGUUACUUCUGCUACUACUACCGCGAGUGGCGCUUUUAUCGAUAGCGUCCAAUGUGGACUUGUACUUGAACGCAAUCCUGGUGAGGGCGCAGAGGUUGAGGAAACCGGCGAUAAACGAGAGCGCGAACGGAAUCCAACGGUACACGCAUUUGAAAUUCGACGGCGUAUUGUAAAAGGCGGUGAAGAUUACGCCUUGAAAUACGAAGUAGUAGUUUGCCAGCUGUGAAGCCUCCUUCUCCAGGUGGCGGAUUUGGUCCCGCCUCUCCUUGUUGGUUUCUCCAUUCCCCGCCGCCGGAAUAAGAUUCCGGCCGGCCU